Molecule: ribosomal RNA, 419 nt
Filed under: uncultured eukaryote
Lineage: Eukaryota
Description: bacterial SSU rRNA
Rfam family: Eukaryotic small subunit ribosomal RNA
Source: RNAcentral
CAAUAGCGUAUAUUAAAGUUGUUGCAGUUAAAAAGCUCGUAGUUGGAUUUCUGGCCGAGUGUCCCUAGGCCAGCAUGACGUUUGGUCCUAGGCGCUCUGCCAUCCUUCUGUCAACCUUCGCCUUCUUCAUUGGGGGCGCUGGGGCUCAGAUAUUUUACCUUGAGAAAAUUAGAGUGUUCAAAGCAGGCAACCGCUCUGAAUACAUUAGCAUGGAAUAACGCUAUAGGACUCUGGUCCUAUUGUGUUGGUCUUCGGGACCGGAGUAAUGAUUAAGAGGGACAGUUGGGGGCAUUCGUAUUUCAUUGUCAGAGGUGAAAUUCUUGGAUUUAUGAAAGACGAACUUCUGCGAAAGCAUUUGCCAAGGAUGUUUUCAUUAAUCAAGAACGAAAGUUGGGGGCUCGAAGAUGAUCAGAUACCAU